This 396-nucleotide long non-coding RNA is filed under the name Fukomys damarensis (Damara mole-rat). RNAcentral's name for it is "lncRNA (ENSFDAG00000026422.1)". The record is from RNAcentral. Lineage: Eukaryota; Metazoa; Chordata; Mammalia; Rodentia; Bathyergidae.
GGUACAGAAGCCAGGAGACCUCUCCUUAAUGGCUUUUGGGCGAGAGCCCUGGACUAGAGGCAGAGUUGGGCAGGCUGCUGUAUCUCCCAGAAGGCUAAACAGGUCUCAUCCUAGUAUCCAACUUGGCUUGGCUCCAGGAUUUCCAUUUUCAGUGAAUCUAUACUGCGCAUCAAAUUCAGAUGCCCAAAGACAUAAAGUUGGGAAAAAGCUGAGACGAAAUUGGUAAGAAGAUGGAAGAUGUCAGUUUAAGAGUCUGCCAGCCUUCCUGCUGAAGCUAAUUAUUUUAUGGUGUGCAAAUAACGUGGUGAGGCAGAGGCAGGGAAGACGGAGAGGCAUCUCAGGGAAUGGAAAUAUUCUUGAUCACCACAUUUUUUUUGCUUUUAAUUAAAGAUCGGU